Piliocolobus tephrosceles (Ugandan red Colobus) is the source of this 2326-nucleotide long non-coding RNA. Lineage: Eukaryota; Metazoa; Chordata; Mammalia; Primates; Cercopithecidae. The record is from Ensembl.
AAUAAAAAAAUAAAAAUAAAAAAAUAAAAAUAAAAAAAUAAGAAUAAGAAUAAGAAUAAAAAGAUGUUGGCAGAAAACGGAAUAAAAAAGGAUUAUGCUCAUCCUAAUUAUGAUGGGUUAUAUAAUGAACAAAAUGAUAGCAGGUGUUAUACUAGUUAUAAGGAGGAUAUGAAGUUAACAGUGGAUGUAGAAAAACAAUGUAAAAUAAAAUAUUAUAACAAUACCAAAAGAAAUACAAAUAGUUUAUUUAAAAAAUAUCCAGUUAAUCAACAUAAUAAAAACCUAAUGGAGCAUUCUUUUUAUAAGAAGGAAAUACAAAGCAGUAACAGCAGUAAUAGUAUUAUUAACAGUAAUAUAUAUAACACGAAUAAUAAUAGUACUUGUAAUACAUCUGUUCAUAAUUCUUCCAUUACUAUGCAUAACAAACUAUAUUUUAAUAAUGAUAGUAGUAGUAGUAAUAUUAGUAAUAGAAAUAAUAAAUACACAUUUAACAAAAAUAAGAAAAAUUUAUUUUAUAAUAAUAAAAAAACAUAUAUGAAUGGCACGAAGAGUAAUAAUAAUACUACUAAUAACAAUGGCACUAUUAACAACAAUAUUGGUGUUAAUAACAGUGGUAGUUAUAAAUACGGUUACAAAUUUGGAUAUUACAACAUGAGCAAGGAUGUCGGCAAUAGCAAUAGCAUAAAAAAAAAAAAUAAUAAUAAAAACUUUAGCGUAAAUUUAUGUAACUCGUGCUUAAACGUUGAUGGAGAUAUUUAUUUAAAACAAAUAAAAGAAAUAAUUGAUCGGAAAUUAGAUUUGUCAAAAGAAGAUAGUAAUGUGCUAGCCGAGUUACAUAAAAAAAAUAUCCAUCAAUCUUAUUGUUUUAGUAAUUUAAAAACAGUUUGUACAUUUCGCAGAGGUGGUUUAGUAUGGGUUGUAUAUCAGAAUAAUCUUACUAAUUGCGAUAGUUCCGAUAACAAUGACAAUGACAACAAUAAAAAUUGUGUCCUCAACAAUAGUAAUAUUAAUAAUAUAAACAAAAACUGUAUAAACAAAACUAGCAAGACUGUACUAAUAAACUACGACAAAUUAGAAAAAGAAAAACAAAGUAGUGUAUUAUACAAUAAUCAGAAAAAUAAUGUCGACGAGUUUAACUACACAAAUUUAAUAAAAACAAAUGUAUUUUACAAUAAUAAUUAUAUAAUAGAACCAACUAUAGAAAAUACAUGGCUAAAAAAAGCAUUAUUGUUAAUUAAAAAUGAAUCAUUAGAUAUAGACGAAUUUUUUUUUAAAUUAAAAUACUAUUUUUAUAAAUCAGUCCAAUUUUUAUAUAAAGAAGGAAUAAAAUCAUAUUUAGGGGAUAUGGCUAAUCAAAUGAAAAUUUAUAUAAAAUAUAAUUUUUGGGCAGCUUCAGAAAUAGCAUAUAUAUUACGCCUAUUAACAAAUUUAUGCAAUUUACAAAUAGAAGUUCGAAUAAAAGGAGAAAUAGGAUGUGUUAUAUAUUUAAAUAAAACACCAAAAGGUUUUAAAAAUUUUGUAGAUAGUCAUGAUUUAACUGAUACUUUUAGCAAAAAAGAUUGGCUUUUGUUAAAUCAAUUUGCCAUAAAAAUGAUGCAGUAUAAAAAAGAAGACAAUGAACAACCAGUAUGUACUAGUAGUCGUAAAACUAUUAAAGGAGAUACUGAUGAGGAUAAUAGUGACGAUCUAUUUACAACUAGAAUAGAUACACCACAUAAUAGUCAAGAAAAAGAGCAAAAUAUCGAAUUGUUAGAAUCACUAUCUGAAGCAGCCACUACAAGUACAACUGCAACUACAACUAUAAGUACCAAUACACCGACGCAUGUACAUAUAGACGAAAAUAAUCAAUGUGAAGAAGAAGAAACAUAUGAUUGUAUUUUAUGCUCAGCUAAUAACAAAAAAUUAAAACCAUAUAUGUUUAAUGGUGGUAGAUAUGCAUUUGCUGCAAAAUUAAAACACGAAAUAAAAAGUUUUAAGUCGAAAAGGUUAGGUGAAAUAAUACAUUUAGUUCAAUUAGCUAUACAUCAAGGUAUUUUUGUAUACUCACAAAGAAUAUUAUUACCUAUUGCUGCAUGUGAAAGAAGUGCAAAUGACUUAUAUCCAAAAUGUAAACUAUUUAACUCUUUUUGAAAUUGUAUUAUAAAUUGUUGUUUUAAUUGAGCUAAAACCAAACCAUUUUGUUUGUGAUCUACUAAAAGUGAAAUAAUAUGUAAGACUUCCUCUAUGGUUGUACAUAUUUCGUAUGUAAAACUUUUUACUUUUGGAUAUAAAAAAUUACAAAACAUGCUUUUAGCUGAACCCUUUAAUAAACGUUACAAACUUUACA